Molecule: ribosomal RNA, 275 nt
Filed under: uncultured Clostridiaceae bacterium
Lineage: Bacteria; Bacillati; Bacillota; Clostridia; Eubacteriales; Clostridiaceae
Description: partial 16S ribosomal RNA
Rfam family: Bacterial small subunit ribosomal RNA
Source: RNAcentral
UAGGGGGCAAGCGUUAUCCGGAUUUACUGGGUGUAAAGGGAGCGCAGACGGCCAAGCAAGUCUGAAGUGAAAUGCAUGGGCUCAACCCAUGAAUUGCUUUGGAAACUGUUAGGCUUGAGUGUCGGAGAGGUAAGCGGAAUUCCUAGUGUAGCGGUGAAAUGCGUAGAUAUUAGGAGGAACACCGGAGGCGAAGGCGGCUUACUGGACGACAACUGACGUUGAGGCUCGAAGGCGUGGGGAGCAAACAGGAUUAGAUACCCUGGUAGUCAAGGGCG